RNA transcript from Limulus polyphemus (Atlantic horseshoe crab), 7884 nucleotides. It is a transcript of the gene named protein Gawky-like, with no coding region annotated. NCBI's taxonomy places the organism in Eukaryota, Metazoa, Arthropoda, Merostomata, Xiphosura, Limulidae. The record is from RefSeq and is a predicted model, not a curated record. The transcript is spliced from 15 exons.
CAGGAUAAACCUGGGUCUGCCUUGAAAACUUAUUUAUCUUUCUUACUGUGCGAACGUUCGUAUUUUGUAGUAGUUAUAAUGACAAAAUAACGUGUUAUCUACAUUGUACAAACGUAGUCUGUUUACGUCAUAUAUUUCAUAACAUUCUUCAAAGAUAGAUUUAUUAACUAGUUGGAUUAAACUAAUCUCGAAAACAAACGGCUUAACGCGUGUGUCAGAUUUCAUGACGUAAGAUGCCGUGAGGCGAGAAUUUUGUAUGGUUGCAGCUGCGCAAUGAUCAGUUGAAAAUUGCACAGUGAGAGUUAAGGAAGUUAGUAAAGGGUAUCAAGGAAUCAUAGAACCUGUCCUUAAGAGACAACAUCUUUAUGGAAAUGGGGUCUUAUCUCCCCAAUUCCGCUUCUGAAUCUGUGAUAACUAGCUCAGGUGGGCAGAGUACAAAUACUUUUUCCAAUGAAGGAAAUAUACACCAUUGCAGUGCUCAUCUUGAUGAUGAAAUGCCUCAGAUAGUAUUGUGUGAAAUCAGUUUAUGCUCUUCCAUGGGUGUCAAAUGCACCAGAAUCCAGGGAAUUGCACACAGUGGCAACAACAGUCAGAAUGCUUCAGACAAUUCAGACUUUGAGAGUAGAACUCAGGGCAGCAGUCUCACUGCAACCAAAUCACAGAAUGCUUCUGACACUUUAGACUUUGAGAGUGGAACUCAGGGCAGCAGUCUCACUGCAACUAAAUCAUAUCUUUCAGGGGCCAAAUCUUUGGAGUCAUUAUAUUCUGCUUCUCAGAUUGGUUUAUUAAGCACUUUUCAUCAUUUACCACUACAGAGUACACACUGUUUAAAAGGUUUUGGCUGUGUAAUGCUAGAAACAGAGACUAAAUUAAGUACUCCAAAUGUAGUUAAAGAGAAAGAAACUGUUGGCCAUUCAACUGACAUUUUGGGGAAUCUUUCUGAUAUGAUAUGCCCCUUGGAUACCAGAAAUAUCAUUAUGAAUGAGAAUGGACACAGCACUUCCUUGAAUGAACAGGGAUCAUCAUGCUCAUCCACAAAGUUGCACUUUCCAGUUACAAAUGUUUCAAACCAAAGUGCCUUGAGUAGUCAAGGGAAUAAAAUUAAUGUAUUGGGAAAUUAUCCUGUAGGCAGUACAUCGGUUAAAAAGUCGUUUGCUUCUCAGAAUGGUCUUGAUAAUUAUGAAGAACUGAUAGGUGCAGUAGGAGGAUGUGAUCAGUCUUCAGAAGUUAACAAUUCCAAACAUAAAUGUGUACCUCCAAUCCGACUUGGGCUGUUGGGAGGUGGAGAAAACUCUGUGAAUAAUGGGACGUCAACAUGGAAUUCAGGCUCACAAGGUAGUGCUGGUGCAUCAAACUGGAGUGUAAAUAACAAUAACAGUGCUGGAGCUCACUUUAAUUCUAUUGGAAGACAAGGAGGACCAGGCUUCUCUUCUGGCAGUAACUGUGAUGAUCAAGGUAGGUCACUCCCAAAUACUUGGGCACUGGCAGCUGGAAAAGGACUUGAUAGUAAUCCUACUAAUGGAAAUGUUCUAAAUGGUCAAAAUUCCCAGAAUGAGAAUGGACAUUCAGUCAAACUUUAUAAUGAAGAACAUUUGUCAGAGAUUCACAGUACAGCUGCUCAAAAUGAUGGAUGGGGGAAGACAGUUAUCAAUCAAGACUCAUCAUGGGAUGAUCCAAACUCCAGUCCCAAAGAAACUGACAGCUCUGUUUGGGAAGGAUCAGCCAACAGCGGCACUGAGAUUUGGGAAAAUAACAUUCGGAAUCCUAAUAACGGAGGCAGCAUGGCUACACCUGGCCGCAACAAUUCCCUACCCUUAGGUCACACCCCUUCUACACACCUUGGUGGAACAUGGGGUGAAGAGGAAGAUACCAAUAUGUGGAGUGGCAUUGACCAAGGACCAAACAUUUUGGGAAAUUCUGGUAGACAGGACCAAUGGUGUGGACCUGGACGUAGAUCAAGGGUUGAGCCAGGAGUAGCAAGUAGCGGUCCAGGAAACAGACAAGAAACUGGAGGUUCAAUGUGUAAUAAAGUAACAAGUAGAACUUGGUCACCUGUGGCUACACCAAAAAAAAAAGAUUUUCAAGCUUCAGGAUGGGAAGGGUAUUCUAAUCCAGUAACCAGCCAUCCGACAUCCAGUUUUGAUGAUGGUACCUCCAUGUGGGGUAAUCCUCAGCGGCAAGGAAAAGUGUGUAAUUGGAAGGAUAUGCUUCCUUCUAAACCAACCAGUGGAAUAGGAAUAAUAGGUGGUAAUGUGCCACGUUUUAGACCUAGCCUUCCACCAAGUGGUCCAGGCAUGAUACGUUUGCCUCCAUCCUUUAGUCCAUCAAACAAACCAGAUGUGGGACCUACAUUGUUGGGCAAGAUGUCGGCCUUGAAUCAUGGGCCAAAUUGGUCAGACCUGCCCCACAGAGGUUCCCCAGGCCCAGGGGUUUGGGAUGAAACCCAUAUAUACCCUGCAUUUAAGAAUAUGCCAGGAUCCCCAAACUGGGGAGAAUCCAACCAUCCCAUGGGGCCAACAUAUUGGGGUGCAAAGCCAAAAACUGCUUCCACAUUAAACUUUGAUGGACAGAUCAACACUAGUGGUUGGGCUUCAGUGAAGAGUAGCAAGCCAUUGGGUAAAGAUCUCAUUUGUACAAGUAAGCAGUACCGCGUUUUGUCAGAGAUGGGAUACAAGAAAGAAGAUGUAGAAAAUGCUUUGCGAAACAAUAAUAUGAGUUUAGAAGAGGCACUUGGAGAACUUCACACACUUGCAAACAAAGAUAAAAAUCUGAUGGAUGUUGUAGGUGGUUAUCAUAAAAUGCAAACUAUUGUGGAUGACGUAAGCUUGAACGAUCCCUUGGCUGAUUCAAUGUGUGGAGCCAUACAGGAUUAUGAAGGGAUCCAUGUCCCUCCUGUGUUUGGUGGGAUUCAAACUUUCAAACAUCAGAAACAUGGGACUUUGAAUGCACUUAGUGGAAGAAUGAACCAACCAUCAGCAGCUCAUUUGAAAGUUCUCGUUCAACAGAUACAAGUAGCAGUUCAAGCAGGACACCUUAAUCCCCAGAUCCUUAACCAGCCAUUGGCCCCUCAGACAUUGCAGCUUCUCUAUCAACUGUUACAAGAGAUCAAACUUCUGUAUGAGAUUCAGCAGCUGCAUGGUUCUCAGCAGUUUGGUAAAGGAGGACCUUUACCUCCGCAGUUAAAUGUGCACAUGACUCAAACCAAGCAGCGGAUCCACAGUUUACGUAAUCAGAUUGCUGCCCAGCAAGCUAACUUUAUAAAACAUCAUCAAGUACACCAGCAGCUGCCUGAAACAGCAAACCUGUCAACCCUUCAGUCACCCUCUCAUGAGCUGUUCAAGCCUGGUUUAGAACAUUUAACUUCAGAACUUUCCAUUAAGGAGCCCUCAACACUUAAACCCCUGUCUCGGCUAUCCCAGUGGAAGCUACCAUCUCUGGACAAGGAUGAACAAAACUUGCUGGUUGGAAAUACUGAAAGAAGCAAUAAUGGCUUAGGGGAUUUUAGUCGUGCUCCUGGAACUGUGUCAAAGCUUGGAACUUCGUUACAUGCUUCACUUUCAUCACCUGUAAUAAAUCUAAGUGAGAGUUUACCAUGCACUCUGAACUGUCCUGGAGCUUGGCCUGUUUCUCCUUCUGAAGGCACCAGAAUUAUCCAUCUACAUAAUAAUAUGAGCAUGAAUAAUAUGAAUAGUUCUGACUCAACAUCCAUAAGUUCAUCAACCAGGAAUGUGGAGAGUGAGCCAAAAGCCACCACUUCUUCAACCACAAGCGCACAACCAUCUUGUAACUUGAAUGAUCUUGUGACAGAAUUUGAGCCUGGUAAACCAUGGAAAAGUAUUUCUCAUGGAAAAAAUGUUGAAGGUGAUAACCAUCUCACACCAAGCAGUACAGCUUGCUCUCCUUUCUCCCUGAGUUCUAUUAAAGACACAGAUUGGACAUCCAAAUCUAGACCUUCACCCACAAGCAGCGGGGAUUCUCUUGUAGCCUCACUAGCUUCGCUGACUUCCAGUCCUUGGACUUUUAAUCCAGUUACAUCAAAUGAUAGUGGCUGCAAGCCAGGUUGGGGACAGCUUGGACCCAGAAAACUACCUUUGUCAGGAGCCUGGGGAGCACCAGGAUCUAAGAUUCAUAGACCUCCUGGAUUUAUUGGACAAGGAAAAGCAGUGGAUAAACAGAAUUCCUUUCUUGUGCUUCGAAAUCUCACUCCUCAGAUUGAUGGAUCUACCUUGAAAACUCUUUGUCUGCAACAUGGUCCACUUCAGCUCUUCCACCUCCUUCUGAACAAAGGAAUUGCCAUUGUCAAAUACUCUACAAAAGAGGAGUCUGCCAAAGCUCAGUCAGCUCUGAAUAAUUGCGUUCUGGGAAAUACUACUAUCUUUGCAGAGAUUCCCACAGAGGCUGAAGUCCAGAAUUACUUGCAUCAUACUGGAAGUGGACAUACAUCAGGUACGAGUGGGGUAGCAUGGUCAGAUAAUAAGUCUACAAAUGUUGGUUCUAAUAUCGAAGGAAGCAGCACAUUUCCAUAUGGAGGAGGCCCUUGUGGUACGAAUCAUGAAAAGGCUGAUCCUAAUGCAUGGAAUAUUACUAACAAACCAGAUGGACCAUCUCAAACAUGGUCUUUCUCAGGUUCAGGAAGUGGUUUGUGGGGAACUACCCAGUCUAUGAAUGGGACAAUGAACUGUUUCUUGCCAGGGGACUUGCUAGGUAGUGAUGCUUUUUAAUGUUGAGAGACAUUGCUGUGUUCAGUCACAAUGUGUUGAGAGAACAUUUCUCCAAACUUGGCUCGUGUUUAAGAAAUACUUCUUGAUAACAAAAAUGUUUAUCAAUCUUAUGUACUACAACUAACACGGAUAGUGAGACUUUCAUGGUAUGAAAAGUAAAUUGAUAUUUAUAUCAAUGUACCUGUUGUAAGAACUAACACAUGAACCAGAAUCUUGUUGUCCUGGCUAAUGUGUGGAAUCCAUUAAUUCUUAUGACCAAAGAACAAAAAGGUUCAUUGAAUUUUUAUAACACUGUUUUUGUUAAAAUAAUCCGAUCAUCUUGAUUUAAUGGCAGUCGUUUAUUUUAGUGAUUAACUCUGUUUAAUGUAAACUGUCUUCAUGGGGUGAUUACCACCCUGUUUCACAAUCAGUUUGUUCAUAUGGGAUAACAACCUGUUUUGAUACUCGUCCUGUUAAUGUGAAACCUCUUCAUGGAGUUAUAACUGCCUCAGUUACCACCCUGUUUACCCAACAGUUUGGUUAUGUAGUAUAAUUGCCUGUUUUAGUACUUACCCUCAUAAUCUAAAACCUCUUCACGGGAUGAUUACUGCCUUGUUUACCACCAUGUUUUACCAUCAGCUUGUUGGUUAAAAAUAAUAGCCUCUUUUAAAACUUAUCCUAUUAAUGUAAAACCUCUUCAUGGGAUGAUCACUGCCUUGUUUACCACCAUGUUUUACCAUCAGCUUGUUGGUUAAGAAUAAUAGCCUCUUUUAAAACGUAUCCUAUUAAUGUAAACCUCUUCAUGGGAUGAUCACUGCCUUGUUUACCGCCCUGUUUUACCACCAGCUUGUUGGUUAAGAAUAAUAGCCUCUUUUAAAACUUAUCCUAUUAAUGUAAAACCUCUUCAUGGGAUGAUCACUGCCUUCUUUGCCACCCUAUUUGUCCAUGAGCUUGGUAAUGAAGGAUAACCACCUGUUUUAUUAGUUAUUCUAUUAAUGUUAUAUCUCUUCAAGGGGUGAUCACUAUACCAUUUACCACCCUAUUUUAUUAGUUAUAUUAUUAAUGUAAUGUCUCUUCAAGGGGUGAUCACUGCACCAUUUACCAUCCUGUUUGACCAUCAGUGUUUCUGUUGAUUAACCACCUGUUUUAUUAGGUAUCCUGUUAAUGUAAUGUCAUUUUGUAGGGUGAACACUGUACCAUUUACCAUCCUGUUAAUGUAAUGUCAUUUCAUAGGGUGAGCACUGUACCAUUUACCAUCCUGUUUGACCAUCAGUGUUUCUGUAGGACAACCACCUGUUUUAUUAGUCGUCCUGUUAAUGUAAUGUCAUUUCAUAGGGUGAGCACUGUACCAUUUACCAUCCUGUUUGACCAUCAGUGUUUCUGUAGGACAACCACCUGUUUUAUUAGUUAUCCUGUUAAUGCAAUGUCAUUUCAUAGGGUGAGCACUGUACCAUUUACCAUCCUGUUUGACCAUCAGUAUUUCUGUAGGAUAACCACCUGUUUUAUUAGUUAUCCUGUUAAUGUAAUGUCAUUUUUAGGGUGAGCACUGCCUCAUUUGCACUUUUUUCCUAUCAACUUGGUCAUUGUCAAGAAAUUCAUUUGAAACAACUGACACAAUAGUGUCUGUAGUUAUAAAACAACUGACACAAUAGUGUCUGUAGUUAUAAAACCGUCCAUAUCCACAGGAUAUAAAGAUGAAUCUUGAGAAAACUUAAUUUUUAUUGUCUGAGUCACAAAGUUACAAUAAUACUUGGUGCUAGCUUAUAGAUAUGUAAUGUAGGAAAACUGUUUCUUGAUCUCUUUCUGAAAAAUAACAUAAUUAAUUUUACUGUCAUUUUAUUAUUAUACCAAACCUGCUUUAUGUAUGUUGAUCACAGCUUGUAGAAGUAUGUAACCAUCCAUAAGCACUUGGUACAUUGUACCAAACCUGCUUUAUGUAUGUUGAUCACAGCUUGUAGAAGUAUGUAACCAUCCAUUAGCACUUGGUACAUUGUACCAAACCUGCUUUAUGUAUGUUGAUCACAGAUUGUAGAAGUAUGUAACCACUCAUGAGCACUGGGUGUAACUUGUGAAAGUUGGUUUCCAAGACAAUAAAUUUGUUUUUCAUGUGGUAGUGUGGUGAUAUUGAUGAUUUAUUGGAUUUUUGUUUUAUAGCAGAAGGUGAUUUAUUGGUUAGUGUGAAUAUGGUAAUGAUGUAGAUUCAAGUAAAUGUUUGUGUUUUUGAACUGUGUUAAAUACAAAAAAUAGAGUUUUUUCAAAUAAUUUGUCUCACUGUCAGCUGAAUAUAUUUUUUCCAUUUGUAGAUAAUUUCAGUUUAGGGUUUAGUAUAUUAUUGAUGAUUUUAUGUUCUUCUGAAAGAAAGGUUUAUUGUGUAUGUUUCCAUUUUAUUUAACACACAUUUAAACCAACCAGACAUAGGUGUAUUUCUGUCACCAAAAGAAACUUUAAUCAGUUUGUACUUUUGAGGUGUGUUGAUCAGUUAGCUUCAUCUGUAAUGAAGCCCUAAGCUAGAAGUUUGUCCUAAUUCUACCAAAGUUGAUAAAAAUAUUUGCAAUCAGUGUGAAUCUUUUUCUUUUAAGUAACAAUAAGAAUUGCUUCCAGUUCUAGUUAGUGUUUUGUACAUACUUUACUUUGAUGUGACACUCAACUCAAAUGAUCUCAUCAUUGUGAACUCGUGUAGUUUAAGUAUACAACAAGUGAUCUCUUUAGAAUAUCAAGAAAGGAUACAAUGCUUGAACUGCAAGGUUAUGUUACAUUAAUAUAUCAUGACAUUAUUUGAUGAAUACAAGUCUGAGUGCAUGGGAAACAUAACCAGUUUGUUUAGUGCACCUGUUGUUUUCAUAUAAUUCUCUUGAACUAUGUUCAGUAAAUUAUUCUUGUCAUUUUAACAACUAUAAUAAGAAAUUAUUAUUCUUAGCAUAACAUAAUCUUAAAGAGGAGUGCAAUACUGUAAACUGUUGUAGUUCUGAUAAUGAGGAUAUUAAUUUUUUACGUUUUAAAACGCACACUUUCAAGACAUAAACUAUCAGAUAUUUGUGUUAUUGCUUAAGAUGUGUUAUAAAAUACAUGAUGUAUUGAAGUGGCUACAUACCUCAUAGCUGUAAUGUAACAUCAUCAGCACAAUCUGAAUAAAUUUUAACAAAAAUCUCAUUUCGGUGUUUACUGAAUACAAAACUCUUAUAGU